CACGUAGUUAGCCGUCCCUUUCUGGUUAGAUACCGUCACACGAGGAGCUUUCCACUCUCCUCGUCGUUCUUCUCUAACAACAGAGUUUUACGAUACCGAAACCUUCUUCACUCACGCGGCGUUGCUCGGUCAGUACUUUCGUCCAUUGCCGAAGAUUCCCUACUGCUGCCUCCCGUAGGUAGUUUGGGCCGUGUCUCAGUCCCAAUGUGGCCGAUCACCCUCUCAGGUCGGCUAUGUAUCAUCGCCUUGGUGAGUCCUUUACCUCACCAACUAGCUAAUACAACGCGGGAUCAUCUUUGAGUGAUGCAAUUGCAUCUUUCAAACUUAAACUUAUAGUUUAAAGCUAUUAUGCGGUAUUAGCAUUUCGUUUCCAAAUGUUCGUCCCCCGCUCAAAGGCAGUACUUCCCCACGCGUUACUCCACCCGUUCGCUGCUCAUCAAUCGGUACAAGUACCAAUCUUCAGCGCUCAACUUGCAUGUAUUAGGCACGCCGCAGCCGUUCGUCCUCGUCGACCG
Molecule: ribosomal RNA, 515 nt
Filed under: uncultured Lactococcus sp.
Lineage: Bacteria; Bacillati; Bacillota; Bacilli; Lactobacillales; Streptococcaceae
Description: partial 16S ribosomal RNA
Source: RNAcentral